Molecule: transfer RNA, 82 nt
Filed under: Amphibalanus amphitrite
Lineage: Eukaryota; Metazoa; Arthropoda; Thecostraca; Balanomorpha; Balanidae
Description: tRNA-Ser
Rfam family: tRNA
About the family: Transfer RNA (tRNA) molecules are approximately 80 nucleotides in length.
Source: RNAcentral
GACGAGGUGGCCGAGUGGUUAAGGCGUUGGACUGCUAAUCCAAUGGGGUCUCCCCGCGUGAGUUCGAAUCUCAUCCUUGUCG